Molecule: long non-coding RNA, 127 nt
Organism: Sphaerodactylus townsendi
Lineage: Eukaryota; Metazoa; Chordata; Lepidosauria; Squamata; Sphaerodactylidae
Exons: 3
Source: RefSeq, a predicted model, not a curated record
AUUGCGUCCACAUCCUGCAUGUGAACUCCCAAAGGCACCUGGUGGGCCACUGCGAGUAACAGAAUGGUGGACGAGAUUGACUCUGAUCUGAUUCAGUAAGGCUCUUUCUUAUGCAUAGGGUUGUAUA